GCGGGGCCGGAGACCCCGGACCGAGCUCCGGGAGGGGGUGGCUGAGGCGGCGGCGCCCCCACGUGGGCCGGGCGCGCGCGUGCGCGAUUGAGGAGGCGGGGGAGGCCUACGGAAACGCGGGGCGCGCUCUCGGCGGCUCACGUGACGGACACGUGACCCGCGGCGAGGCCGGCUGAGGUCGAGCGCGGUUCUCUGUGGCGUCCCGCGGGUGGCAGAGGGCGGCUCAGUUUGGCUUCCGCCCCUCCUUCUCUCUCUGGGGACUCAGAGGAAGCGUACAGGGCGGAAAGGCUUGCCCCUCCUUCUGUUUGCCCGCGGCUCCCCAGUGCGAGGACGGAGCAUACUUUCAAAGUUCCGAAGUAGUGAUUAUCUCCCCUCGCCGCCAUGUUUGUCCCAGAGCACGCCCGCGAGAUGCCAGUGGGUCGGUAUCGCGAGAUCUCCGGCCUCUCGCGGGACCUUGUUGGCAGAGCGGUUGUGCUGGAUGGCGGAGCCCCGGUUUCCGGGGCCCUGGGACCAGUAACUCUUUUCCAGAAGGCAAGUUGUCAGGGAGGGGCCGGGGCGCGUGCCCGGGCGCCGGGAGACUUUGUGCGCGCGCCUCCCUGUCGCCAGCGGCCGUGCAGCCGGGCUGUCCGGCGCCGCGCUCUUCCCGCCCCCGGGCGCCCGCCACCUGCCGAGAGCUACCCGGGCUGCUGCCCCUCGCUCGCCCGCCCGCCCGCGGCUAGCACGCCCCGCCCGCCGCCGCCCCCCUCUGCGGAGGUUCCAGACAGUUUUUGCCCAGUUACCCUUUCUCCAGACAGCUUCACUUUUCAGCCGCCUGUGGCUGCAGUAUCUUUCCCCAGUCUCCGAACAGAACGCCUAGCAUCUCUUGUGUCUGGGCGUCAUUUAACCACCCACUUGUCUGUUGAGAAGUUCCUCGACACCCUGGCUGUUGACAGUAACUUUUGGCAGUGUAUGGCAGUCCCCUCACCCCUGACAGUACCUGAGGUCAGAAUAAAAUCCCUGUUAUGUACAUCUUAUUAACUCACAUUGG
Molecule: long non-coding RNA, 1027 nt
Filed under: Rattus norvegicus (Norway rat)
Lineage: Eukaryota; Metazoa; Chordata; Mammalia; Rodentia; Muridae
Description: long non-coding RNA NONRATT015891
Source: RNAcentral